This 472-nucleotide long non-coding RNA is filed under the name Dermacentor andersoni. RNAcentral's name for it is "uncharacterized LOC126522264". Lineage: Eukaryota; Metazoa; Arthropoda; Arachnida; Ixodida; Ixodidae. The record is from RNAcentral.
AACAGUCACUUUCGGAGUGCUUUUGGCUACGUGCUAUGUACACGGAAAGCUUGGAGCUCCUGGAGGACCUCAGCAACUGCCUUACGUGGUGCCUGACAGCUUCAAGGUAUUCCAGAGCUUCGCUUUUGCGGUGGCUAUCUCGGACUCCGACAACGACACUAUUCUCGAAUGCAUGUCAGCCAACCGAACUGCUAUCAACCCAGAAGAAAUGACAGCUACUUAUACCUUCAAUUUUCCAAAUACACAAUUCCACUCAGAGAGAAGGCAUAAUUUACUACACUGACUACGUCAACUGCGAUGUAGUGGACUUGGACUUCCAUGGUCAUCAGUGCACACUAUGGGCAAGAAAAGAAGUGAAAGACAACGUGCCACAAAACUGCAUUGACUACUUCGUCGACACCUGUGGCGUCGUCGUCCCUCAACAUAGCAGAGACCUCUGCUUUGAUGGGGAAGGAGACUACAAAUAAAUUCU